This 1455-nucleotide ribosomal RNA is filed under the name uncultured Bordetella sp. RNAcentral's name for it is "partial 16S-23S ribosomal RNA intergenic spacer". It matches the Rfam family "Bacterial small subunit ribosomal RNA". Lineage: Bacteria; Pseudomonadati; Pseudomonadota; Betaproteobacteria; Burkholderiales; Alcaligenaceae. The record is from RNAcentral.
ACGGAUCUUGCCAGAUUGAACGCUGGCGACGCCACGGCAAGUCGUGAACGGCAGCAUUUGACUUUCGGUCUGGUAUGCGGCUGAACCAUGAGUAAUGUAUCGAACGGGUCAUUUAGUAGCGGGAUAAUCACGCGAAAGCGAAGCACACCGUAUACGCCCUGGUAAGCGGGGACCCUGGCCUCGCAAUUAUUAGAGCGGGUUGAUAUCGGAUUAGCCAGUUGGUGGGCAUCAUCACCGCUGCGGAUGAUCUAGUAGCUGGUUUGAGAGGACGACCAGCCACACUGGGACUGAGACACGGCCUAGACUUUACGGAGGAGCAGCAGGGGUAAUUUUUGACAAUGGGGGAAAUCCCUGAUCCAGCCACCCCCGCGUGCGAUGAAGGCUUUCGGUUGUAAAAGCACUUUUGGUAUGAAGAAACCAGCACGGAUAUCACCCUGUGCAACUGACGGUACCUGCAGAAUAGCUGACUGCUAACUACGUGCCAGCAAAGCAGCCGCGGUAAUACGUAGGGUGCAAGCGUUAAUCGGAAUAUUGCCAGGUAGUGCUGCGCAGGCGGUUCGGGAAGAAAGAUGUGAAAUCCCAGAGCUAACUUUGGAACCGCAUUUUUUAACUACCGAGCUAGAGUGCAAAGUCAGAGGGGGGAGGUGGAAUUCCGCGUGGCAGAGAAAUGCAGAUAUGGAGUGAACACCGAUGGCGAAGGUAGCCUUCUGGGAUAACACUGACGCUCAUGCACGAAAGCGUGGGGGAGUAAAUAGAUGAUACCCGGUAGUCCACGCCCAAACGAUGUCAAUCUAGUUGUUGGGGCCUUUUCGGGUUUUGGUAAGUGGUGCCAUCGCGUGGAAGUUGACCGCCUGAGUACGGUCGCAAGAUUAAAAACUCAAAGGAAUUGAUUUGGGACGGCACAAGGUGAUGAUGAUUGACUGAUGCAACGCGAAAAAACCUUACUCAAUUUUUGACAUGUCUGAAUCCUGAAGAGAUUUGGGAAUGCUUCGCAGAGAACCGAAACACAGGCGCGCGGCGGCUGUCGUCAGCUCGUGUCGCAUGCCAAGUCCCGCAACGAGCGCAACCCUUGUCAUUAGUUGCUACGAAAGGCACUCUAAUGAGAUCAAGCCGGUGACAAACUGAGUGUGAAGGUGAAGAUGACGUCAAGUCUCAUGGCCCUUAUGGGUAGGGGCUUCACACGUCAUACAAUGAGCCGGGACAGAGGGUCGCUAACCCGCGAGGGGAGCUAAUCCCAGAACCUGAUCGUAGUCCGAUCGCAGUCUGCAACCUCCGACUGUGUGAAGUCGGAAUCGCCAGUAAUCAUGAUCAGCAUGUCGCGGUGAAUACGUUCUGGUCUGGUACACACUGCCUGGGCCACAUGAGUGGGCUUUACCAGAAGUAGUUAAUUAAACUGCAGGAGUGGCGAUUACCACGGUAGGAUUCAUGACUGGGGUGAAGUCGCACAGAAGGCAG